This 494-nucleotide ribosomal RNA is filed under the name uncultured bacterium. Its description in RNAcentral is "partial 16S ribosomal RNA". It matches the Rfam family "Bacterial small subunit ribosomal RNA", at positions 28 to 523 of the family's 1533-position model. The record is from RNAcentral.
GAUGAAUGCUAGCGGCAGGCUUAACACAUGCAAGUCGAGGGGUAUAGGUUUUCGGACCUAGAGACCGGCGCACGGGUGCGUAACGCGUAUGCAAUCUACCUUUUGCAGAGGGAUAGCCCAGAGAAAUUUGGAUUAAUACCUCAUAGUAUAACACAAUCGCAUGAUUGAGUUAUUAAAGUCACAACGGCAAAAGAUGAGCAUGCGUCCCAUUAGCUAGAUGGUAAGGUAACGGCUUACCAUGGCUACGAUGAGUAGGGGUCCUGAGAGGGAGAUCCCCCACACGGGUACUGAGACACGGACCAGACUCCUACGGGAGGCAGCAGUGAGGAAUAUUGGUCAAUGGACGCAAGUCUGAACCAGCCAUGCCGCGUGCAGGAUGACGGUCCUAUGGAUUGUAAACUGCUUUUGUACAGGAAGAAACACUCCUUCGUGAAGGAACUUGACGGUACUGUAAGAAUAAGGAUCGGCUAACUCCGUGUCAGCAGCCGCCGUAA